RNAcentral lists this ribosomal RNA (501 nucleotides) under uncultured bacterium. RNAcentral describes it as "partial 16S ribosomal RNA". It matches the Rfam family "Bacterial small subunit ribosomal RNA", at positions 30 to 523 of the family's 1533-position model. The record is from RNAcentral.
AUUGAACGCUGGCGGUAUGCUUAACACAUGCAAGUCGAACGGCAGCACAGUAUGUAGCAAUACAUAUGGGUGGCGAGUGGCGGACGGGUGAGUAACGCGUAGGAAUCUACCCUAAGCGGGGGACAACCCGAGGAAACUCGGGCUAAUACCGCAUAAUCUCGAAAGAGUAAAGCUGGGGCAACCUGACACUUUAGGAGGAGCCUGCGUCCGAUUAGCUAGUUGGUGAGGUAAAGGCUCACCAAGGCGAUGAUCGGUAGCUGGUUUGAGAGGAUGAUCAGCCACACUGGGACUGAGACACGGCCCAGACUCCUACGGGAGGCAGCAGUGGGGAAUAUUGGACAAUGGGGGCAACCCUGAUCCAGCAAUACCGCGUGUGUGAGGAAGGCCUUAGGGUUGUAAAGCACUUUAGUUGGGGAAGAAGGAUAGUUGUUUAAGAGAUGAUUAUUUUGACGGUACCCAAAGAAUAAGCACCGGCUAACUCUGUGCCAGCCGCCGCAGUAA